UGGGUAUGUUAAUAGCAUACUCAUUUGACGUUUAGCUGCAGAAGAAGCACCGGCUAACUCCGUGCCAGCAGCCGCGGUAAUACGGAGGGUGCGAGCGUUUAAUCGGAAUUACUGGGCGUAAAGCGCAUGCAGGUGGUUUGUUAAGUCAGAUGUGAAAGCCCGGGGCUCAACCUCGGAAUUGCAUUUGAAACUGGCAAACUAGAGUACUGUAGAGGGGGUAGAAUUUCAGGUGUAGCGGUGAAAUGCGUAGAGAUCUGAAGGAAUACCGGUGGCGAAGGCGGCCCCCCUGGACCAGAUACUGACACUCAGAUGCGAAAGCGUGGGGAGCAAACAGGAUUAGAUACCCUGGUAG
This 352-nucleotide ribosomal RNA is filed under the name uncultured bacterium. RNAcentral describes it as "bacterial SSU rRNA". It matches the Rfam family "Bacterial small subunit ribosomal RNA", at positions 445 to 793 of the family's 1533-position model. The record is from RNAcentral.